CUCAGGAUGAACGCUAGCUACAGGCUUAACACAUGGCAAGUCGCGGGGCAACAUGAAUUUAGCUUGCUAAAUUUGAUGGCGACCGGCGCACGGGUGAGUAACGCGUAUCCAACUUCCCCUGUCCACGGGAUAGCCCGUCGAAAGGCGAAUUAAUACCGUAUGAGGUCACACGAUGGCAUCAGACUGUGACGAAAGGUUUAGCGGACAGGGGAUGGGGAUGCGUCUGAUUAGGUUGUUGCGGGGCAACGGCCCACCAAGCCUACGAUCAGUAGGGGUUCUGAGAGGAAGGUCCCCCACAUUGGGACUGAGAUACGGCCCAGACUCCUACGGGAGGCAGCAGUGGGGAAUUUUGCGCAAUGGGGGCAACCCUGACGCAGCAACGCCGCGUGCGGGACGACGGCCUUCGGGUUGUAAACCGCUUUCAGCAGGGAAGAACCUCUGACGGUACCUGCAGAAGAAGCCCCGGCUAACUACGUG
Molecule: ribosomal RNA, 477 nt
Filed under: uncultured bacterium
Lineage: Bacteria
Description: bacterial SSU rRNA
Rfam family: Bacterial small subunit ribosomal RNA
Source: RNAcentral